CCUACGGGAGGCAGCAGUGGGGAAUAUUGGACAAUGGGCGAAAGCCUGAUCCAGCCAUGCCGCGUGAGUGAUGAAGGCCUUAGGGUUGUAAAGCUCUUUUAUCCGGGAAGAUAAUGACUGUACCGGAAGAAUAAGCCCCGGCUAACUUCGUGCCAGCAGCCGCGGUAAUACGAAGGGGGCUAGCGUUGCUCGGAAUCACUGGGCGUAAAGGGCGCGUAGGCGGAUGAUUAAGUCGGAGGUGAAAGCCCAGGGCUCAACCCUGGAAUUGCCUUCGAUACUGAUCGUCUCGAGAAUGGAAGAGGUAAGUGGAAUACCGAGUGUAGAGGUGAAAUUCGUAGAUAUUCGGUGGAACACCAGUGGCGAAGGCGACUUACUGGUCCAUUUCUGACGCUGAGGCGCGAAAGCGUGGGGAUCAAACAGGAUUAGAUACCCUGUAGUCACGCGUAACGAUGAAUGCAGCCGUUGGGAGCUUGCUCUUCAGUGGCGCNGCUACGUACUUACGUACACUCCGUCCGUCGGAGGUACGGUCGCGAGAGUAACUACAAGAAGUAGACGCGNGAGACGNGCGACGCGACGACGAGGAGAG
RNAcentral lists this ribosomal RNA (586 nucleotides) under uncultured bacterium. RNAcentral describes it as "bacterial SSU rRNA". The stretch from base 1 to 513 matches the Rfam family "Bacterial small subunit ribosomal RNA", at positions 338 to 873 of the family's 1533-position model. The record is from RNAcentral.